This is a long non-coding RNA of Pogoniulus pusillus (Red-fronted tinkerbird), 879 nucleotides long. RefSeq lists it as uncharacterized. The record is from RefSeq and is a predicted model, not a curated record. The transcript has 3 exons. Lineage: Eukaryota; Metazoa; Chordata; Aves; Piciformes; Lybiidae.
AUUGGGCUGAGCUGGAAAUCUUCUCCAUCCAUGGGAAUGUAAGGAGCCAAGGUUUCAAGGUCCAGUUCAUUGAAGUCAGUCUGCAAAAAACUCUUCUUACCGUGGAACAGCUACUGUUGCUGCUUGCACUCGGAGUACUGCUGCCAGCUGUAAUCUGAGGCAUUGUAAAGGAUGGUAUCAGAAGUGUUUCACCUUCAGCAGCGUGGCUUUUCACUUCCGCUGGCCAUGCUUUGUUUGGUGUUGAGACAGCACUGGUGAAGGCAGGAGCUUUCUCAAACUUCUGCGUCGCUGGAUGGAGUUCUAACAACAUUAUGAAAGCUUUUAGCUUGUGCUGUGUUAUGAUAUAAUUGCAGCUAUUCAUUAAAAAUAAACACGGCUCCUAGUUGCCAUGGCGGUAAGUUGGCAUAGACUUAAUGCAUGUUGUUUAGUCAGCAAGAAAGCCUAAUUCUGCUCUCAUUCACAGAAAUUUUCCACUGGUGUGAGCACGUGGGCUUUUACAGCCAUUACUCCUCAGCUGUACACACAGCAAACAGAGCUCUUCUAUUGGGUUUCUAAAGCUGCCCACAGGUGCACCAGAAGAAUAACACCACCAGGAAAUGCACUUCUUGCCAGGCUACUACUAGCUAACUCAGCCUUUCAGAUUUCCAGCAUAUCUGUGCAUUAUCCCUUAGAGAGACAGUGAUUAUCCUUUCUACUAUCCAAGUGUAAAUUAUGGCAAACAGCAAACCCUCUGGAAAGAUUGUCAGCAGGUUUCAGUUAGACAAAGCAUAAAUACUGUUCCCAGAGAAUAUCUGCACACAAAGUGCAUUUGUAUUUUCAGCUACUUACUGAGGCAUCCACAAACUCUGAAUUAAAGUAAGAAUGUGACUUACAGUUCUG